GAGUUUGAUCCUGGCUCAGAACGAACGCUGGCGGCAGGCUUAACACAUGCAAGUCGAACGCCCCGCAAGGGGAGUGACAGACGGGUGAGUAACACGUGGGAACGUGCCCUAAGGUUCGGAAUAUUCCCGGGAAACUGGGAGCAAUACCGAAUGUGACCGCAAGGUGAAAGAUUUAUCGCCUUAGGAUCGGCCCGCGUCGGAUUAGCUAGUUGGUGGGGUAAAAGCCUACCAAGGCGACGAUCCGUAGCUGGUCUGAGAGGACGACCAGCCACACUGGGACUGAGACACGGCCCAGACUCCUACGGGAGGCAGCAGUGGGGAAUCUUGGACAAUGGGCGCAAGCCUGAUCCAGCCAUGCCGCGUGGAUGAUGAAGGCCUUAGGGUUGUAAAAUCCUUUCGUCAGGGACGAUAAUGACGGUACCUGAAGAAGAAGCCCCGGCUAACUUCGUGCCAGCCGCCGCAGUAAC
RNAcentral lists this ribosomal RNA (467 nucleotides) under uncultured Alphaproteobacteria bacterium. Its description in RNAcentral is "bacterial SSU rRNA". It matches the Rfam family "Bacterial small subunit ribosomal RNA", at positions 9 to 524 of the family's 1533-position model. The record is from RNAcentral. Lineage: Bacteria; Pseudomonadati; Pseudomonadota; Alphaproteobacteria.